This 370-nucleotide ribosomal RNA is filed under the name uncultured organism. RNAcentral describes it as "partial 16S ribosomal RNA". It matches the Rfam family "Bacterial small subunit ribosomal RNA", at positions 527 to 896 of the family's 1533-position model. The record is from RNAcentral.
GUAGGUGGCAAGCGUUGUCCGGAAUUAUUGGGCGUAAAGCGCGCGCAGGCGGUUCUUUAAGUCUGAUGUGAAAGCCCACGGCUCAACCGUGGAGGGUCAUUGGAAACUGGAGAACUUGAGUACAGAAGAGGAAAGCGGAAUUCCACGUGUAGCGGUGAAAUGCGUAGAGAUGUGGAGGAACACCAGUGGCGAAGGCGGCUUUCUGGUCUGUAACUGACGCUGAGGCGCGAAAGCGUGGGGGAGCAAACAGGAUUAGAUACCCUGGUAGUCCACGCCGUAAACGAUGAGUGCUAAGUGUUAGGGGGUUUCCGCCCUUAGUGCUGCAGCUAACGCAUUAAGCACUCCGCCUGGGAGUACGGCCGCAAGGCUG